CACACUAACUCGUGUUGCCUCAUGAACAUUUCCACUUAUUCUCAUCAGCUCCUUCCGCCUUCCAUCCUCGUGGAGUUUGUGGUGGCUGCCACUGACUGUGCUGCUGCAGAAGUUGUAGACUCGGCCAAGUGCAACCUGCUGGCAGACAAGGUAUAUGGCUUCUGUAAGGCGACUGUCACUGAGAAGGUUGGUGGGGAAGAUGUUGUAGUGACCUGCACGGUGUUCC
Manis javanica (Malayan pangolin) is the source of this 226-nucleotide non-coding RNA. The record is from RefSeq and is a predicted model, not a curated record. Lineage: Eukaryota; Metazoa; Chordata; Mammalia; Pholidota; Manidae.